Molecule: long non-coding RNA, 2785 nt
Filed under: Sus scrofa (pig)
Lineage: Eukaryota; Metazoa; Chordata; Mammalia; Artiodactyla; Suidae
Description: lncRNA (ENSSSCG00060052552.1)
Source: RNAcentral
GAAGGGACACCUUCAAAACACAGAACCCCUCUAGUGGUCUGGCUGCAAAGGAGAGUGAGAGCGCUGCGUGAACAUAUACCUGUCCCAGCCUCAGGCAUCAUGGAGAGAAGACACACAUUGAGCAGGAGGAUCAUGGAACCAGAGUUUAAAAGACACUUUCCCAAGGACUCCACUUCCACAGCAAGGCACCCCAAGGUCCAAACCAGGAGGCAGCUUCCAGGGCAGGGAAGCACCUGAAGAGAACAGCUGGUCUGGUUGUACAGCCCCCAGUCUCUCCCACCCACCCCAUCCUGCCCCCCAUGCCACAGUGAAAAUAGUGUCUUGGAAAGAGCACUGGCUUCAGAAUCAGGCAGUCUAAAGACUGGAAUCUUAGCUCCAACACUUGGUAGUAGCUGGGAGAACUUCAAGUUAUUUAGCCUCUCAGAGCCACAGUUUCAUCAUCUAUCAAAUGAUCGGAAUAGUAACUCCCUUAUUGAAUUGGUAAGAGGAUUUAAGGCAAAUCAUCAUGUAUUGCUGCUCAGGUUGUGCACUGCUGAAAUCCAGGUGGCCACCAUAAGCCUACAAAGUUAUCGAUGGCCCUUGGUUUGUGUAGGUAUACGAAAUAUUGUGUUAAAAGCACCCUUCACAAAGCCUGGCAUCUAGUAAGUGCUGAAUCAUGGCGGCCAAAAAUCAGGUCUAUUAAUCCUACUUUCAGUUCACCAGAGGACAACCACCUAGCCUUUGGCUGACAUAAUAGUUUCAGAGUAGGAAGUUGUAGCCAUGGUAAUAAUAUGAGGCAACUUUGUGGUGAUGGGGAUGUGAUGCCUAAGGGAAUUUUUAGAGCCCAGAGCUUCAGAAGUUUGUCAUGGCUCUCUGCUUACUGGGCAUUUUCUUGGUGAGCAAUCAGAUAUCUCACAGUGCCCAGAUAUAUGUGCUCUUGGAAUCAUUUAGUCUUAAUGAAGUGAAGUUAGAUUAUUUAAGUGGAGCAUGAUUGCCUUUCCCUAUUAAAAUAAUGUUUUUUCUUCCAUUAAAACAUAGUGUGCAAUGUCCAGUUAAACAAGAUCAACUUUUAAAAGGGAGCCUCUAGACUCCCAGUUUUCCAGCCUCAACUCUUACAGUCCAGCAACUACUCCAUCUUCACCCUGGCAGAGUUGGGAGAUGGGCUUUCUGGUGAAGUCAACUUGUAGACAUGGGCAUAGCUGAGGGUAGGAGAAGGUGCUUACUAAAUGCAGGAUUUACAUUCUGAAGGUGUGGGCCCUUAAACCACAGCCCCUGACCUGGAUCCUGUAUAGCUGACUGUCCAACUUAACCCUCCCAUUCUAGGCAGGAGCCUCAAGGGUUUAAUUAGCCCAGAAAAGUGGCUUUAAAAUAUGAACAACCAGGAGUCCCAGUAAGACAGCCAGGUCUUACCCAGUCUUCUUACUGUGAGGUCCAACUUCUGGCAAGUCACACAACAAGCAGAGAACGUCCAAUCAGAAGUUCAGAACCUCUCUCCAAAUGGCCAUUAGCUAUUAAGGGACAGAUUUCUUGAAGACAGGGUCUAAUGCAAAAAGGAAAAAAGGAAAAAAGGAAAAAAAAAGAAAAGAAUGGGAGGGAGGGAGGAAAGUGGGGGGGAGAAAUAGGAAGUAUUUCUAGGAAAAUAGGAAGAAGGAAGGAAAAUUAAGACAAUUACUUCAAAGGAGGAGGCAAAAUAACACUUGCCACUAAUGUAUAAUUACUAGCCAUAAUGAGAAGCCAUUACAACUAUGAAAUAAGAACAAGGACUCAUAGGAAGAGAAGAGGAAUAAGAAAGGACACUUGGAAAUUAAAAAUGUGAAAGCAGAAAUAAAAAUGCAGGGGAUUAAGAUGGCAGAAUAGAAGGUCUGGAGCACAACUUCUCUCCUAAAAACAACAAAAUUACAACCAAAAUGCUGAGUAGUCUUCAACCAAAUGGACUGGAAACUUUCAAAAAUAUAUCCCACCCCAGAAAACAAAGAAGCCGCAUCAAGAGGUAGGAGGGAUGAUUAUGCAGUAUAAGCAACCCCAUACCUCCUGAGUGGGAAGCCCCACAGACUGGAAAUUAACUGUAUCAUAGAGACUCACAGGAGUGAGAGUUCUGAGUCCCACGUCAAGUUCCCAUGCCUGGGGAUCUGACACUGGGAGAAAGAGCCCCUGGAGCAUCUGGCAUUGUACACAGGAGCUCCACGGGACUGGGGGAAAUGCAGACCCCAUUCUUAAAAGGCGCACACAGACUUUCACAUGUACUGGGUCCCAGGGCAAAGCAAAGUCUCCAUAGGAAUCUGGGUUGGACCUGACUGCAAUUCUUGGAGGAUCUCCUAGGAAAACGGGGUGAGUGUGGUUUGUUGUGGGGGAAGAGCAUUGGAAGCAAAGCUCUUGGGAAUAUUCAUUAGUAUGCGUUUCUCUGGAGGUGGCCAUUUUGGGAAAAUCUGGCCCUACCCAUCAGUGCUGAGAAGCCUCAGGCCAAACAACAAUCCAGGUGGGAUCACAUCCCACCCAUCAGUAAACAGGCCAGCUAAAGACCCCCCAGGCACACAGCCAUCUCUAAUAUCACCCAGAAACAAAGCCCAACCCACCAGAGGGAUAGGAAUCAGCUCCACCACUAGUGGUCAGGCACCAGUCGCUCUCAUCAGGAAGCCUACAGCAUGCCCCCGUACCAACUUCAGCCACAAGGGGGGCAGACACCAGAAGUAAGAGAGGCUACAAAUCUAUUGUCUGCAAAAAGGACACUACACCAAAAACCUAUAAAAAUGAAAAGACAGAGAGCUAUAACUCAGAUAAGGGAGAAACAACCCCCCCCCAAAAAAAA